Molecule: ribosomal RNA, 491 nt
Filed under: uncultured bacterium
Lineage: Bacteria
Description: bacterial SSU rRNA
Rfam family: Bacterial small subunit ribosomal RNA
Source: RNAcentral
AGUUGAUCAGUCGGCUACGAGGACGAACGCUGGCGGCGUGCUUAACACAUGCAAGUCGAACGAGGUCCACUGCGUAGCAAUACAAGGGAAGACCUAGUGGCGAACGGGUGCGUAACACGUGAGGAACUUGUCCCGGUCUCUGGGAUAACAGUUGGAAACGACUGCUAAUACCGGAUGACGUCGGAAUCUCGCAUGGGAUACUGACGAAAGGGUUACUGGAUCGGGAGAGCCUCGCGGCCUAUCAGCUUGUUGGUGAGGUAACGGCUCACCAAGGGCAUCGACGGGUAGCUGGUCUGAGAGGAUGAUCAGCCACACUGGGACUGAGACACGGCCCAGACUCCUACGGGAGGCAGCAGUGGGGAAUCUUGCGCAAUGGGCGAAAGCCUGACGCAGCAACGCCGCGUGCGGGAAGAAGGCCCUCGGGUUGUAAACCGCUUUCAGUAGGAACGAAAAUGACGGUACCUGCAGAAGAAGGUGCGGCCAACUACGUG